This 257-nucleotide ribosomal RNA is filed under the name Paenibacillus sp. 7516. RNAcentral's name for it is "partial 23S ribosomal RNA". It matches the Rfam family "Bacterial large subunit ribosomal RNA", at positions 825 to 1080 of the family's 2925-position model. The record is from RNAcentral. Lineage: Bacteria; Bacillati; Bacillota; Bacilli; Caryophanales; Paenibacillaceae.
AAUUCCAAUCGAACUCGGAGAUAGGUGGUUCACCCCGAAAUAGCUUUAGGGCUAGCCUCGGAAAACAGAGUCGUGGAGGUAGAGCACUGAUUGGGUGCGGGGCCCGCAAGGGUUACCAAGCUCAGUCAAACUCCGAAUGCCAUAGACUUACUUCCGGGAGUCAGACAGUGAGUGCUAAGAUCCAUUGUCAAAAGGGAAACAGCCCAGACCAUCAGCUAAGGUCCCCAAGUGCGUGUUAAGUGGGAAAGGAUGUGGAG